AGUGAACGCUGGCGGUAGGCCUAACACAUGCAAGUCGAACGGCAGCACAGUAAGAGCUUGCUCUUAUGGGUGGCGAGUGGCGGACGGGUGAGGAAUACAUCGGAAUCUACUUUUUCGUGGGGGAUGACGUAGGGAAACUUACGCUAAUACCGCAUACGACCUACGGGUGAAAGCAGGGGAUCUUCGGACCUUGCGCGAUUGAAUGAGCCGAUGUCGGAUUAGCUAGUUGGCGGGGUAAAGGCCCACCAAGGCGACGAUCCGUAGCUGGUCUGAGAGGAUGAUCAGCCACACUGGAACUGAGACACGGUCCAGACUCCUACGGGAGGCAGCAGUGGGGAAUAUUGGACAAUGGGCGCAAGCCUGAUCCAGCCAUACCGCGUGGGUGAAGAAGGCCUUCGGGUUGUAAAGCCCUUUUGUUGGGAAAGAAAAGCAGCAGGUUAAUACCCCGCUGUUCUGACGGUACCCAAAGAAUAAGCACCGGCUAACUUCGUG
RNAcentral lists this ribosomal RNA (492 nucleotides) under uncultured bacterium. Its description in RNAcentral is "partial 16S ribosomal RNA". It matches the Rfam family "Bacterial small subunit ribosomal RNA", at positions 29 to 507 of the family's 1533-position model. The record is from RNAcentral.